This 494-nucleotide ribosomal RNA is filed under the name uncultured bacterium. Its description in RNAcentral is "partial 16S ribosomal RNA". It matches the Rfam family "Bacterial small subunit ribosomal RNA", at positions 28 to 523 of the family's 1533-position model. The record is from RNAcentral.
GAUGAACGCUAGCGGCGUGCCUUAGGCAUGCAAGUAGAACGGGUCCAGCACCAGCAAUGGUGCUGGACCAGUUGCAAACGGCUGAGUAUAAGAUAGGAAUCUUCCCAAUGGUGUGGAAUACCUCAUCGAAAGAUGGGCUAAUACCGCAUAACUCCGUAAGGGAAAAGCGCUUAACUGCGCGCCGAUGGAUGAGCCUAUCCCCCAUCAGUUAGUUGGUAGGGUAAUGGCCCACCAAGGCGACGAUCCGUAGCUGGUCUGAGAGGAUGAUCAGCCACACUGGAACUGAGACACGGUCCAGACUCCUACGGGAGGCAGCAGUGGGGAAUAUUGGACAAUGGGCGCAAGCCUGAUCCAGCCAUACCGCGUGGGUGAAGAAGGCCUUCGGGUUGUAAAGCCCUUUUGUUGGGAAAGAAAUCCAGCUGGCUAAUACCCGGUUGGGAUGACGGUACCCAAAGAAUAAGCACCGGCUAACUUCGUGCCAGCAGCCGCCGUAA